RNAcentral lists this ribosomal RNA (443 nucleotides) under uncultured bacterium. RNAcentral describes it as "partial 16S ribosomal RNA". It matches the Rfam family "Bacterial small subunit ribosomal RNA", at positions 338 to 795 of the family's 1533-position model. The record is from RNAcentral.
CCUACGGGAGGCAGCAGUGGGGAAUAUUGGGCAAUGGGCGCAAGCCUGACCCAGCAACGCCGCGUGAAGGAAGAAGGCUUUCGGGUUGUUAACUUCUUUUCUCAGGGACGAAGAAAGUUACGCUACCUGACGAAUAAGCCUCGGCUAACUACGUGCAAGCAGUCGCGGUAAUACGUAGGUGGCAAGCGUUAUCCGGAUUUAUUGGGUGUAAAGGGCGUUUAGGCGGGAGAGCAAGUCAGAUGUGAAAACUCAGGGCUCAACCCUGAGCCUGCAUUUGAAACUGUGUUUCUUGAGUGCUGGAGAGGCAUUCGUAAUGCCGUGUGUAGCGGUGAAAUGCAUAGAUAUUCGGCGUAACCCCGGUUGCGAAAGCGGAGUGCUGGACAGUAACUGACGCUGAGGCGCGAAAGCGUGGGGAGCAAACAGGAUUAGAUACCCUAGUAGUC